AGUGAUUAUAGUGUUAUCUUAUCACAGUGAUGAUAUAUAUUGAAGAUGAUAUCUAGCAAUGCAUUGCUUUCUAACAAUCAAUAAGCCCUAUUCAAUUACAAAUAGAAUGAAUAUGAUAGGCUGCCGUACUUUCGCAACUGGACUACGCUCCUUCACAUCUGCAGUCGUACUAGUAAUCUUACGUCUCUUUCGUUUCCGUUCCCGAGGGCUAGAAAUCAAAUGCGAUCAACACUAUGCUGUGGAGUGGGUAUGAGAGGGCAAAGCACGCACGAGCAUUCCCAGUGAUUGCGGGAACAGUUGAGGCAUUCUUUACUGUUUUCUGGAUAGAUGCAACGAAUCUGCUCAAGUGGUUGAGGGAGAGGUUAGUGACGGAGGGCGAUCAAUACUAAGUUUCUCUGUUGUUAAACCGUGUAGGUCUGCUUUUGUUUGCACCGUGAAUGAGGGACGUGAACAUGCCUUUUUCAUGUUGCAAGCGAGGCAUGCAGAUGUUGCUCGAAGCUGGACCAGGCUGCGGACCGCUUUGCCCAACACCGCUGGCGGCACAUCUGGUUGGGCACUCAUACCGCAAGAUUGUAGUAUUUCAUCACAUGGAUAUAUGUGUACACACUUGGAGAGGGGGAGAGAAGUGCCAAUAAACUCUUGGAGUGGGCCGAAAAGCGAGGAUAGGGACUGUUUUUGUCUGGGGUAAGGCUGAGAUCCAUUUCCCGAGAUCGGAUAUGCGGGGAUUUUACAGGCUUAAUUGACAUAACCGGUUACGACAAGAGUAAGUUAUGGACUAAAUCUAAAGUGAGGACACCGCAAUUUACAUUAUUUGUUCAAGGUGUAGUUAUGGACCAGUGAAGUGAUUCAUGUGGAAAUAAACAUUGGAUUUGAUUUUAUCAUUAUAAUUCUCAGCAAUCCGAGGCAUUCUUAAGUAGGAUAGGAUUUAGCUGAGCAGUGUCGCCCGGUUUUCAAUGGGUAAAGGCCAUUCUGCUAGCUGGUUUGAGCCAGAAAGCAGUGGGACGAGAACCUAGUACGCCUGGCAAGUCUAUCGCAACUAAAUGCAGACAGAAUAUUGUUGAUAUAAGCACAUCUUCGGCGCAACCAUAGCCAAGGAAAAAAGACUGGGUUGUAAUUUGACAUCCGUGCUAACGCCACUGUACCCCUGAGUGGAUCGUAGGCUAGAAAGGCAGUUGCACAAGUGGAGUGAUGAAACGGGUGAAAUGAAUGGUUAGCUAAUUUAAGAAGGGUUUAUAUGGGGAUUAUACAAACAAGGGUAUUAGGAUGAUAUUUAUAUUUGGAAUAGAAUAGUAUAGGGAGUGCUCGUCUAGCUGAAAUGAGGAAACGGAAAAGAGAAAGAAGAAAAGAUCGUAUUCGUUAUAUCCUACAGUUCCUGAUGAUUUGAGAUACGUGGUGGAGGGCGAAGGUUUCCUUGCUUAAUUUGCUGGAACGCGAGGUCGAAGCGGGCUCCCAUGAGCCAUGCAGCAAAGAUCAUGAUUGCUGUAAGAAUAGCCAGAAUACCGAACAAGGCAAGCAUGAUGUACAUUAUGUCUUGUCGGGCUUCGGCAUCUAGUCGAGCUUGUUCUGCUUCUUGUGCGCUGGGUUCUUGUUUCGCUUUCCGUUGGGCACCCUCAACAGUUUGGGACGGGAAGAUAGAUUCGAUGAAAGUUUCAACCUUCGCACAGGCAAUGCUGAUUUUGAGGAAAUUAGGGUCUUUGGGAGUAUUUUUCUUGUGAAUUUUUCGACCGUAUUGUCGGAAAACAUCACAGAUAGCGCGAACAUUUUGAGUGGACUGGAACAUGAGUUGGCAGGCGGAGCCCUUGGUGAUCUUAAUAUUUCGUUCAAAGAUGGCCUCAUUACGGAAGCAAAGUUCAAGAGUGGCAAUAGCCAUUGACUGAGGGAUGGCACAGAAAUUAAAAACACUCUGCUCUCUCAGGCCAGCGAGAUAGAAGAGACAUUCAUCGGCGUGCCCAAGAGCAUUCAGGAUCAUCUCCGAAUUACAGUUGAGGGCAGCCUCUCUGUUUUCUCGUUUGAACAGGUCUUCGAAGUCAUCCACGUGUUUGGACCAAAUUUCCUGUGGCCAAAAGCACCUGUUGUCCACGUAAUCUUCCUUUACAUCACGGAUGAUAUUUGUCUUUUGAAGGAACAAACCCAUAGAUAUGAAAAGUUCAGUACGUUCCAAGAGAGCCGGGUUAGCAAAGCCAGCCUCCACAAAAAGCCUUGUGAGCCCCUCGCCAACGAUGCCGGCAACGUAAUAACAAUAGAGGUCAUAUUCUUUUACCGUUUUGACCUUCGCAGUAUCCAACUCUGCUUUCCUGCAAUAAUCUGCCAUGCCACUGCCCAUUUUCUUGGUGGUGUCCUUUAUGAUUGUCCGAUAAGCAGGUUUUAUCAGCUUGAAUUCAGUAACAACAUUGUGAAACUGAACUAGCAGUUCGCGAUCUUUCUCCUCAGGUCGGUUGCCAUUGAACGACCAGCCAUCCUUCUCCAGGAUAUUGUGGAAGUCGCGAAGAAGGGGCUCUUUUGUUUGUAAAGGGAUUGAGGUGUCGUCUUCGAUAGUAUCCAGACCGCGUAGGGCCAAAUAGAACAGGCAGACAGGGAGAAGUAGUUCAGGAUGCAGCUCCAUAAUGACGGCGCUGAAGCUUCUGCUGGUGAGUUCUAGGAACUCGAAACAUUUUUUCUGCGUUUCGGACACAUUCUUCUCGUCUCUUUCGUGGACAGGGUUAUGCCACACUUUCCAUUGGAUGAUUGACCUCAGUUCUUGAGGAUGGACGAGAUAAUAUAUUGCAUCUGUGAGGCCGACCAUUGUGGUGGGCGGGUGGUACAAGGGGACAAGAGCGAAGCCAGAAUGAAAAUAACCUAGAUCCAAAGCCGGAGGAUUGGAGCACUGAGGAGGGAAGAUUAUGAAUAACCAGUUGGAGGGAGGGGAAAGGG
Molecule: small RNA, 2910 nt
Filed under: Histoplasma capsulatum
Lineage: Eukaryota; Fungi; Ascomycota; Eurotiomycetes; Onygenales; Ajellomycetaceae
Also listed under: 1 other name
Description: hypothetical RNA
Source: RNAcentral